AAUGACCACUAGGGGAGUCGGUAGGCCGACUGAGACGACGAAGACGUUCGGACCCUUUGAACCUGAUUAAGUUUGGACUUACGGAGGGAAGUGGCGUGAACAUCUC
This 106-nucleotide non-coding RNA is filed under the name Exiguobacterium oxidotolerans. RNAcentral describes it as "TPP". It matches the Rfam family "TPP riboswitch aptamer (THI element)". From Rfam's summary of the family: Vitamin B(1) in its active form thiamin pyrophosphate (TPP) is an essential coenzyme that is synthesised by coupling of pyrimidine and thiazole moieties in bacteria. The previously detected thiamin-regulatory element, thi box was extended, resulting in a new, highly conserved RNA secondary structure, the THI element, which is widely distributed in eubacteria and also occurs in some archaea. The record is from RNAcentral. RNAcentral also lists the same sequence under 1 other name. Lineage: Bacteria; Bacillati; Bacillota; Bacilli; Caryophanales.